Molecule: non-coding RNA, 31 nt
Filed under: Mus musculus (house mouse)
Lineage: Eukaryota; Metazoa; Chordata; Mammalia; Rodentia; Muridae
Source: RNAcentral
AGACAUGCUGAGUUCAAUCAUCAAAGGUACC